GGCUAAUUAAACAGUUUUGAUUUGAAAUCAAGUACUAAAGCGGUGCUAUACGCUUAUCAGUCUC
Molecule: transfer RNA, 64 nt
Filed under: Mytilus trossulus (common blue mussel)
Lineage: Eukaryota; Metazoa; Mollusca; Bivalvia; Mytilida; Mytilidae
Description: tRNA-Ser
Source: RNAcentral